GACAGAGGUGCCGAGCGUUAGGCGGAAUCACUGGGCUUAAAGCGUGUGUAGGUGGAUGCCUAAGUACCUUGUGAAAUCCCACGGCUUAACCGUGGAACUGCUUGGUAUACUGGGUGUCUUGAGCCAGCUAGGGGCUACCGGAACAAAUGGUGGAGCGGUGAAAUGCGUAGAUAUCAUUUGGAACGCCAAUGGUGAAAACAGGUAGCUGGGGCUGUGCUGACACUGAGACACGAAAGCCAGGGGAGCAAACGGG
RNAcentral lists this ribosomal RNA (253 nucleotides) under uncultured bacterium. RNAcentral describes it as "partial 16S ribosomal RNA". It matches the Rfam family "Bacterial small subunit ribosomal RNA", at positions 524 to 776 of the family's 1533-position model. The record is from RNAcentral.